This 482-nucleotide ribosomal RNA is filed under the name uncultured bacterium. RNAcentral's name for it is "bacterial SSU rRNA". It matches the Rfam family "Bacterial small subunit ribosomal RNA", at positions 30 to 507 of the family's 1533-position model. The record is from RNAcentral.
AUUGAACGCUGGCGGCAUGCCUUACACAUGCAAGUCGAACGGUAACAGGUCUUCGGAUGCUGACGAGUGGCGAACGGGUGAGUAAUACAUCGGAACGUGCCCGAUCGUGGGGGAUAACGAGGCGAAAGCUUUGCUAAUACCGCAUACGAUCUACGGAUGAAAGCGGGGGAUCUUCGGACCUCGCGCGGACGGAGCGGCCGAUGGCAGAUUAGGUAGUUGGUGGGGUAAAGGCCUACCAAGCCUGCGAUCUGUAGCUGGUCUGAGAGGAUGAUCAGCCACACUGGGACUGAGACACGGCCCAGACUCCUACGGGAGGCAGCAGUGGGGAAUUUUGGACAAUGGGGGCAACCCUGAUCCAGCCAUGCCGCGUGCAGGAUGAAGGCCUUCGGGUUGUAAACUGCUUUUGUACGGAACGAAAAGCCUCUUCCUAAUACGCAGGGGUGAUGACGGUACCGUAAGAAUAAGCACCGGCUAACUACGUG